Molecule: non-coding RNA, 401 nt
Organism: Notechis scutatus (mainland tiger snake)
Lineage: Eukaryota; Metazoa; Chordata; Lepidosauria; Squamata; Elapidae
Source: RefSeq, a predicted model, not a curated record
ACAUACAAAGGGGUAAGACUUUGUCACAAUGCUUGCCAGUUUUGACACAAUUCUAACAUUAUCUGCUGAAAUUCUCUUCUUUUUGACUGGCUGCCUGAAGAAGGACAAACGAAUUAAAUUUCUGGGAUUUUUUUUCUUUUUGACAUAGGCUGCAACUCCUGAAAUCAAAGCUACCUGGGUAAAUGAAAUUAGAAAAGUAUUGACCAGCCAAUUACAGGCUUGCAGGCAAGCUAGCCAGCAUAAAGCUGUUGAACAUACUCAGAGUUUACCUUUGUCUCUCUCAGCUAACACCAGCCCUUCAAAAAAUGAGGGAAGGAACUUGAGAAAACAAGAAAUGAGAAAUGCAGACAGUCCAGAUGGUUGUGUCAGUUCAGUAGCAUCAAAGAAUCUUGAAAAAAGCA